This is a small nuclear RNA of 194 nucleotides. It matches the Rfam family "U2 spliceosomal RNA". Rfam says of the family: U2 is a small nuclear RNA (snRNA) component of the spliceosome (involved in pre-mRNA splicing). Complementary binding between U2 snRNA (in an area lying towards the 5' end but 3' to hairpin I) and the branchpoint sequence (BPS) of the intron results the bulging out of an unpaired adenosine, on the BPS, which initiates a nucleophilic attack at the intronic 5' splice site, thus starting the first of two transesterification reactions that mediate splicing. The record is from Rfam.
AUCUCUUUGCCAUUUGGCUUAGAUCAAGUGUAGUAUCUGUUCUUUUCAGUGUAACAGCUGAAACGUCAUCAUUGAUGACUUUAGAAUGUUACAAAGGUUUUUGGAAAAAUUGCCGGAAAGCUUGAUGAGCUUGCUCACACUUUCCAGCACAGUGUCGUUGCCAUUGCACAUUAAGGCUUCUGACGCAACUUUUU